CGUAGCUCAGCUGGUAGAGCAAUUGACUCUUAAUCAAUGGGCCGUGGGUUCGAGUCCCACCGA
Molecule: transfer RNA, 63 nt
Filed under: Butyricimonas virosa
Lineage: Bacteria; Pseudomonadati; Bacteroidota; Bacteroidia; Bacteroidales; Odoribacteraceae
Also listed under: 7 other names
Rfam family: tRNA
About the family: Transfer RNA (tRNA) molecules are approximately 80 nucleotides in length. Their secondary structure includes four short double-helical elements and three loops (D, anti-codon, and T loops). Further hydrogen bonds mediate the characteristic L-shaped molecular structure. tRNAs have two regions of fundamental functional importance: the anti-codon, which is responsible for specific mRNA codon recognition, and the 3' end, to which the tRNAs corresponding amino acid is attached (by aminoacyl-tRNA synthetases). tRNAs cope with the degeneracy of the genetic code in two manners: having more than one tRNA (with a specific anti-codon) for a particular amino acid; and 'wobble' base-pairing, i.e. permitting non-standard base-pairing at the 3rd anti-codon position.
Source: RNAcentral